GCGCCGGUAGCUUAGACGGCAGAGCUGUGGGACGACCGUGGGGUCUCGGGUUCAAGCCCCGGCCGACGCU
Non-coding RNA from Phthorimaea operculella (potato tuberworm), 70 nucleotides. Lineage: Eukaryota; Metazoa; Arthropoda; Insecta; Lepidoptera; Gelechiidae. The record is from the annotation of a GenBank genome assembly.